This 103-nucleotide small nucleolar RNA is filed under the name Jaculus jaculus (lesser Egyptian jerboa). RNAcentral's name for it is "Small nucleolar RNA SNORA63 (ENSJJAG00000008435.1)". Lineage: Eukaryota; Metazoa; Chordata; Mammalia; Rodentia; Dipodidae. The record is from RNAcentral.
AAGCAGGAUUUAACUACAAUAUGGCUGGUAUGUUCAAAACAAUGUUGUUUCUUAACUAUACCUGUCUGCUAUGUAGCAGCCAGGGACACUUGGUCUCAUACAU